Molecule: ribosomal RNA, 412 nt
Filed under: Actinomyces sp. oral taxon E75
Lineage: Bacteria; Bacillati; Actinomycetota; Actinomycetes; Actinomycetales; Actinomycetaceae
Description: bacterial SSU rRNA
Rfam family: Bacterial small subunit ribosomal RNA
Source: RNAcentral
GACGAACGCUGGCGGCGUGCUUAACACAUGCAAGUCGAUCGGUGAAGCGCCUUCCUUUUUGGUGGGUGUGGAUGAGUGGCGAAACGGGUGAGUAACACGUGAGUAACCUGCCCCCUUCUUCUGGAUAACCGCAUGAAAGUGUGGCUAAUACGGGAUAUUCUGGGUCUGUCGCAUGAUGGGUCUGGGAAAGGUUUUUUUCUGGUGGGGGAUGGGCUCGCGGCCUAUCAGCUUGUUGGUGGGGUGAUGGCCUACCAAGGCGGUGACGGGUAGCCGGCCUGAGAGGGUGGACGGUCACACUGGGACUGAGACACGGCCCAGACUCCUACGGGAGGCAGCAGUGGGGAAUAUUGCACAAUGGGCGCAAGCCUGAUGCAGCGACGCCGCGUGAGGGAUGGAGGCCUUCGGGUUGUGA